GACGAACGCUGGCGGCGUGCUUAACACAUGCAAGUCGAGCGGUAAGGCCCUUUCGGGGGUACACGAGCGGCGAACGGGUGAGUAACACGUGGGUGACCUGCCCUCAGCUCUGGGAUAAGCCUGGGAAACUGGGUCUAAUACCGGAUAUGACUCCAUGACGCAUGUUGUGGGGUGGAAAGCCUUGUGCGGCUGAGGAUGGGCCCGCGGCCUAUCAGCUUGUUGGUGGGGUGANGGCCUACCAAGGCGACGACGGGUAGCCGGCCUGGGAGGGCGACCGGCCACACUGGGACUGAGACACGGCCCAGACUCCUACGGGAGGCAGCAGUGGGGAAUCUUGCGCAAUGGGCGAAAGCCUGACGCAGCGACGCCGCGUGAGGGAUGACGGCCU
Molecule: ribosomal RNA, 388 nt
Filed under: uncultured bacterium
Lineage: Bacteria
Description: bacterial SSU rRNA
Rfam family: Bacterial small subunit ribosomal RNA
Source: RNAcentral